UGGAAGGGCCAUCGCUCAACGGAUAAAAGGUACUCCGGGGAUAACAGGCUGAUACCGCCCAAGAGUUCAUAUCGACGGCGGUGUUUGGCACCUCGAUGUCGGCUCAUCACAUCCUGGGGCUGAAGUCGGUCCCAAGGGUAUGGCUGUUCGCCAUUUAAAGUGGUACGCGAGCUGGGUUUAGAACGUCGUGAGACAGUUCGGUCCCUAUCUGGUGUGGGCGUUGGAUGAUUGAUGGGAGCUGCUCCUAGUACGAGAGGACCGGAGUGGACGAACCGCUGGUGUUCGGGUUGUCAUGCCAAUGGCAUUGCCCGGUAGCUAUGUUCGGAACGGAUAACCGCUGAAAGCAUCUAAGCGGGAAGCCGGCCCAAAGAUGAGUCAUCCCUGAACUUUAAGUUCUGGAAGGGUUGUUAUAGACGAUGACGUUGAUAGGCAGGGUGUGGAAGCGUUGUAAGGCGUUAAGCUAACCUGUACUAAUUGCCCGAGAGGCUUAACC
Molecule: ribosomal RNA, 493 nt
Filed under: Thalassiosira rotula
Lineage: Eukaryota; Bacillariophyta; Thalassiosirophyceae; Thalassiosirales; Thalassiosiraceae
Description: partial Bacterial large subunit ribosomal RNA
Rfam family: Bacterial large subunit ribosomal RNA
Source: RNAcentral